AACGCUAGCUACAGGCUUAACACAUGCAAGUCGAGGGGAAACGACAUCGAAAGCUUGCUUUUGAUGGGCGUCGACCGGCGCACGGGUGAGUAACGCGUAUCCAACCUGCCCACCACUUGGGGAUAACCUUGCGAAAGUAAGACUAAUACCCAAUGAUAUCUCUAGAAGACAUCUGAAAGAGAUUAAAGAUUUAUCGGUGAUGGAUGGGGAUGCGUCUGAUUAGCUUGUUGGGGGGUAACGGCCCACCAAGGCGACGAUCAGUAGGGGUUCUGAGAGGAAGGUCCCCCACAUUGGAACUGAGACACGGUCCAAACUCCUACGGGAGGCAGCAGUGAGGAAUAUUGGUCAAUGGGCGAGAGCCUGAACCAGCCAAGUAGCGUGCAGGAUGACGGCCCUAUGGGUUGUAAACUGCUUUUAUAAGGGAAUAAAGUGAGCCUCGUGAGGCUUUUUGCAUGUACCUUAUGAAUAAGGACCGGCUAAUUCCGUGCCAGCAGCCGCGGUAAUACGGAAGGUCCGGGCGUUAUCCGGAUUUAUUGGGUUUAAAGGGAGCGUAGGCCGGAGAUUAAGCGUGUUGUGAAAUGUAGACGCUCAACGUCUGCACUGCAGCGCGAACUGGUUUCCUUGAGUACGCACAAAGUGGGCGGAAUUCGUGGUGUAGCGGUGAAAUGCUUAGAUAUCACGAAGAACUCCGAUUG
Molecule: ribosomal RNA, 695 nt
Filed under: uncultured bacterium
Lineage: Bacteria
Description: bacterial SSU rRNA
Rfam family: Bacterial small subunit ribosomal RNA
Source: RNAcentral